GGGCACUGUUUCUCCGUUUUUCUUUCGUGUCCUUUUGCCCUGAAUUUUGUUUUUGGUUUUGCCUCGCGUGCAUUGGGCCGUGUGGCGGACGGGGCGGCUGAUGCCAGCAAAAAAAAGAGAGAAAAAGGGCGCGCCGGUCUGCCCGCGCCAAGGCUCCAUAGAUCGGUGCACCCGCGUCUUUGUUUGUGCCCAUCCUUCCUCGGCUCUUUUUUUUUAGGUCAAGAAAAAAGGGAGGAAGGACUGAAUGGCGCGCUUGUGGAUUUGGACAUGACAGAGGGUACGCGCCAGGCUGGGCAAGCGGCCGGAACCUGAUCAGAUACGGACUCGACCUGCUGAGCGCCGCCUUUUGCGCCGUCGGCCGACUCGACGCGCAGUGCGUCCAACGGAUGCAGAGCCAAGGCGCAAAAAGAUGCCGACCCUUUGAGUGGCUUUGUCGCUCGUGUAGAUUUUCGAGCGCGGCCGGCUCUCUCUUUGCGAGGUCGCACGGGCGAGGUUGGUUUGCGCAAGAGGUCGCGCUACCGCUAGCCUGGCCGUCAAGAAUUUAGGCCGGCCAUCGACCAGCGCCGGAUCGCCGCGCUGCCGCGCCUUGCGCCGGGAGGAAGAGAGGGAACCGGAAAAUAAAAG
RNAcentral lists this long non-coding RNA (624 nucleotides) under Pandoravirus salinus. RNAcentral's name for it is "putative ncRNA". The record is from RNAcentral.